GCAUUGGUGGUUCAAUGGUAGAAUUCUUGCCUGCCAUGCGAGUGAUCCGGGUCCUAUUCCCGGCCAAUGCA
Molecule: non-coding RNA, 71 nt
Organism: Anarrhichthys ocellatus (wolf-eel)
Lineage: Eukaryota; Metazoa; Chordata; Actinopteri; Perciformes; Anarhichadidae
Source: the annotation of a RefSeq genome assembly